RNAcentral lists this ribosomal RNA (606 nucleotides) under uncultured soil bacterium. RNAcentral's name for it is "bacterial SSU rRNA". It matches the Rfam family "Bacterial small subunit ribosomal RNA", at positions 224 to 823 of the family's 1533-position model. The record is from RNAcentral.
GAGGAGCCCGCGGCGGAUUAGCUUGUUGGUGGGGUAACGGCCUACCAAGGCGACGAUCCGUAGCUGGUCUGAGAGGACGAUCAGCCACACUGGGACUGAGACACGGCCCAGACUCCUACGGGAGGCAGCAGUGGGGAAUCUUGCGCAAUGGGCGAAAGCCUGACGCAGCGACGCCGCGUGAGGGAAGAAGGCCUUCGGGUUGUAAACCUCUUUCAGGAGGGACGAAGCCACUCGGGUUAAUAGCCCAGAGGGUGACGGUACCUCCAGAAGAAGCCCCGGCUAACUACGUGCCAGCAGCCGCGGUAAUACGUAGGGGGCAAGCGUUGUCCGGAUUUAUUGGGCGUAAAGAGCGUGUAGGCGGCCAGGUAGGUCCGUUGUGAAAACUCGAGGCUCAACCUCGAGACGUCGAUGGAAGCCAUCUGGCUAGGGUCCGGAAGAGGAGAGUGGAAUUCCUGGUGUAGCGGUGAAAUGCGCAGAUAUCAGGAAGAACACCCGUGGCGAAGGCGGCUCUCUGGGACGGUACUGACGCUGAGACGCGAAAGCGUGGGGAGCGAACAGGAUUAGAUACCCUGGUAGUCCACGCCGUAAACGAUGGGAACUAGGUGU